AGAGUUUGAUCCUGGCUCAGAACGAACGCUGGCGGCGUGCUUAACACAUGCAAGUCGAACGCGAAAGGUUUCUUCGGAGACCGAGUAGAGUGGCGCACGGGUGAGUAACGCGUAAGUAAUCUACCCCGGCAUCUGGAAUAACUCACCGAAAGGUGAGCUAAUACCGGAUACGCUGGUAACAGGAAAGGUGGCCUCUGCAUAUGCUACCGUGCCGGGAUGAGCUUGCGUACCAUUAGCUAGUUGGUGGGGUAAUGGCCUACCAAGGCGACGAUGGUUAGCGGGUCUGAGAGGAUGAUCCGCCACACUGGAACUGGAACACGGACCAGACUCCUACGGGAGGCAGCAGUGAGGAAUAUUGCGCAAUGGGGGCAACCCUGACGCAGCGACGCCGCGUGGAUGAUGAAGGCCUUCGGGUCGUAAAAUCCUGUCAGGUGGAAAGAAGUGCACGGCGGUUAAUACCCGCUGUGUUUGACGGUACCACCGAAGGAAGCACCGGCUAACUCCGUGCCAGCAGCCGCGGUAAUACGGAGGGUGCAAGCGUUGUUCGGAAUUACUGGGCGUAAAGCGCGCGUAGGCGGUUUGUUAAGUCAGAUGUGAAAGCCCUCGGCUCAACCGGGGACGUGCAUUUGAAACUGGCAGACUUGAGUACUGGAGGGGGUGGUGGAAUUCCCGGUGUAGAGGUGAAAUUCGUAGAUAUCGGGAGGAAUACCGGUGGCGAAGGCGACCACCUGGCCAGAUACUGACGCUGAGGUGCGAAAGCGUGGGGGAGCAAACAGGAUUAGAUACCCUGGUAGUCCACG
This 800-nucleotide ribosomal RNA is filed under the name uncultured bacterium. RNAcentral's name for it is "bacterial SSU rRNA". It matches the Rfam family "Bacterial small subunit ribosomal RNA", at positions 8 to 799 of the family's 1533-position model. The record is from RNAcentral.